This 1348-nucleotide long non-coding RNA is filed under the name Lathyrus oleraceus (garden pea). Its description in RNAcentral is "Pisum sativum (pea) long non-coding RNA (PSAT_LNC019861)". Lineage: Eukaryota; Viridiplantae; Streptophyta; Magnoliopsida; Fabales; Fabaceae. The record is from RNAcentral.
GUAGUUGGGCCUAUGACGGAAAGGUCAUAAGGUGGCGGGUUAUAGAUUUGUUGGCCUGGAUCUGAAUCAUGAAGCCAAGUUUUAAAAAAAGAACCCUAAUUUGUUCUAAAACAGUUGCUUCCCAUUUUCUUACGAAACACACUCGUCAAACUCACCACAAGAAAAAGAUCAACUCUCACGAUCUCUCUUUCUCUCUUCUAAAAUCGUGCAUCCCCCAUUCAGUUUGCAUAAACCACAAUUUUCGUCCUAAACAAAACUCUCCCUCAUCUCUCUUAUAUGUAAUUGAGAUUUAGAGAAAACAAGCUAGCAAAAUCCCCUGGUAAAAAAAUCAAAAUCAACCUCAGAAACUAAGUCCUCUCAAACACGACACUUUACAUGUUAUGGAAAAUAUAGCAACAUCAAAAUGCACAAAAAAAAGGAAUUGUACAUAAAAGAAAGAAACAAAACAAAGGCGACACAAGACAAACGAAAAUGGUUACAAUCCCAAAGCAAGUAGUAUAUGAGAAAGGAUGCAAAAAACGAGCUACUUAUUUGACUAACAGUUCUGACGCAAAUACCAGGUAAUAUUGCUUUUUUCAAUUCCAUUGCUUUUCCUUUUUGCUUGCGUGUAUGACUGUUUUUUUCUUCCUACCGUUUGUUAUCAGUUCACUAGGACCCCUACUUAUCAUUGUAUCUUCAUGUUUAUCUUAACGUACUUUUCUUGAAAGUGGCUAGUUUUUUUUACAGUUCAAUAUGUUAUGAUGUAGCUAGGUUUUUUGAUGAUGUUCAAAUUUACUGGGAUAUCUGUUGUUUGAUGGCUGCCUCUUGGGUUUCUUUUUUCUCCUUCUUUUAAUGUUAUGUUAAUGUUACUUUUAUACAGUGAAGAUUAGGGUUUGAGAUGUAUGUUUGCUGCAGAAAAAAGAUGAGAGUUGUAAUGGUCUAUUAUACUUUCUAAAAUGUCAUAUUGGUCUUGCCAUUUUAGUGUAAGCUUAUGUUGUGUAUCAAAAAUGAAAUGAUUUGCUUUGCAUUUUUCUAUUUUGACUUUUUGCUUGGUACUUUCUUUCCAUAAUCAUGCUAACUUGCUGCUUUUUUUCUGCUUGCAUAAGACAAAACAAGUGCUCAAAUGGUGUAUGAGGUGUUGUACUAUGUUUCUACGUGGGCUGAAUUUUUUAUGCUCCACUAUUCAUGACAGCAAGCCACAAUAACAUAUAGAGCUCAAAGUUGAGAGGAUCCAUUUGAGAAAGCCCUCCCCCUUUAAUUAAUUUAAAAAUUGAUGUAAAUACCACUUAUGUAUUAUGUAAAAUAAAUAAAUGAGAGAUUAAUCUUGAUAGCAAAAUGUUUUCUUAAUAUAAUGGUGUUUAAUUAUUUG